UAAUAAAUAAAAAGGUAAUACCCCUGGAGAAACCUAUACUCUUUGACGGCCUUCUUUCUAAUCAAAGGAACUUGUUUACUGAUCGAAAUUACACGUUUAAUUUUCCUUCUCCUAAAAGUUUUUAUACCGUCGUCUUAAGAACACACCCCUUACCACCCCAAGUCUGUUCUAAACUAAUUAACUAAACAAGUCAGAUCAAGGUGAAGCCUAUGGAGAAGACCAUAAUGAGUUAUUCAUAAAAAUAAUUUAUAGAUUUUUAUUGAAAAAAUAAAUGAAUUAAGAUUUGAAAGUAUUAUCCUACUAACAAUUUGUAAAGAGUAAGUAAAAGAAGGUGU
This 335-nucleotide ribosomal RNA is filed under the name Namea sp. Fairlies. RNAcentral's name for it is "partial 12S ribosomal RNA". The record is from RNAcentral. Lineage: Eukaryota; Metazoa; Arthropoda; Arachnida; Araneae; Anamidae.